GGGCGUGUAGCUCAGCGGGAGAGCACCGCGUUCGCAACGCGGGGGUCGGGGGUUCGAAUCCCCUCUCGUCCACCA
Molecule: transfer RNA, 75 nt
Filed under: Desulfoscipio geothermicus
Lineage: Bacteria; Bacillati; Bacillota; Clostridia; Eubacteriales; Desulfallaceae
Also listed under: 2 other names
Description: tRNA_Ala_CGC
Rfam family: tRNA
About the family: Transfer RNA (tRNA) molecules are approximately 80 nucleotides in length.
Source: RNAcentral